This 443-nucleotide ribosomal RNA is filed under the name uncultured bacterium. RNAcentral's name for it is "partial 16S ribosomal RNA". It matches the Rfam family "Bacterial small subunit ribosomal RNA", at positions 338 to 795 of the family's 1533-position model. The record is from RNAcentral.
CCUACGGGUGGCAGCAGUGGGGGAUAUUGGACAAUGGGGGAAACCCUGAUCCAGCGACGCCGCGUGAGUGAAGAAGUAUUUCGGUAUGUAAAGCUCUGUUAGCAGGGAAGAAAGAAAUGACGGUACCUGACCAAGAAGCCCCGGCUAAAUACGUGCCAGCAGCCGCGGUAAUACGUAGGGGGCAAGCGUUAUCCGGAAUUACUGGGGGUAAAGGGAGCGUAGACGGUGAUGCAAGUCUGGAGUGAAAGGCGGGGGCCCAAACCCCGGACUGCUCUGGAAACUGUGUAACUUGAGUGCAGGAGAGGAAAGCGGAAUUCGUGGUGUAGCGGUGAAAUGCGUAGAUAUUAGGAGGAACACCGGUGGCGAAGGCGGCUUACUGGACUGUAACUGACGUUGAGGCUCGAAAGCGUGGGGAGCAAACAGGAUUAGAUACCCCAGUAGUC